UCGGGCUGUGGUGCAUCUGUACCUCAGUGACCAUGGUGUGGUGGAAGGAACGGGAGCAGAAGGCAGUGGCAGAACGUGUGCAGUGUGAGCAGAAGCCACUGGAGAAAUGCCUCCUCUCAGCCCGACACCAUUUCGACUUGGUCCCGACGUUUGGAUUCUCCCCGCUGUCAUGUAGGAUGAAGAUCUCCCAUGAAAAUAUUUUGAGGUCGACUUUGCAGUAAUUGUCAUGAGAAAGCUACACGGCAUCAAAGUCAAGCCUUUCUUAUCACAACCCAUUAUAGAAUUACAUUCGGAGGACCCACUUCAAAUCGGCAAGUACCCUUAACCUACUUGGUACGAUGUGCACUAUAGAACGCUCUUUGCUUUUUUCCCCUUUUCCUUUUAAAAGGGGUGUGUGUGUGUGUGU
Ailuropoda melanoleuca (giant panda) is the source of this 406-nucleotide long non-coding RNA. RefSeq lists it as uncharacterized. The transcript has 3 exons. The record is from RefSeq and is a predicted model, not a curated record. Lineage: Eukaryota; Metazoa; Chordata; Mammalia; Carnivora; Ursidae.